AUGUUCCUCUCCCCCGGCGGCGCCUUCAUCACCAAGUUCUUUAGGUGUCAAGAUUACCAUGCUGUCAUGUUCUGUCUCAAGCAGCUAUUUGAAAGAGUUGAGUUCACUAGACCUUCAGCAAGUCGGCGCAGACCAGCUGAAAUUUACCUCGUCUGUCUGAAAUAUAAAUCCCCUGCAAAGAUUCAGCCAGAACUUCUUGAUUUGAAGCACUUGCACUUGUUGAGUGUGGAUGCAGAGAAGAGCAAGCCGAAGAGACGGGCUGGAGGUCGGUGGGUAUUCCUUCUGCUAAUCCAGAUUCUACUUAAUUGGUGUUGUCAAGGCAUCCGCGCAUCACCGCAAAAUGCUAUGGAUGCGCCAAUGCUAAGCGUUAUACUAGGUUUGAAUGUGUGCUGUGAUUUCAUUUGCUAG
Molecule: ribosomal RNA, 408 nt
Filed under: Triticum aestivum (bread wheat)
Lineage: Eukaryota; Viridiplantae; Streptophyta; Magnoliopsida; Poales; Poaceae
Description: partial small subunit ribosomal RNA
Source: RNAcentral